RNAcentral lists this ribosomal RNA (741 nucleotides) under uncultured archaeon. Its description in RNAcentral is "bacterial SSU rRNA". It matches the Rfam family "Archaeal small subunit ribosomal RNA", at positions 118 to 860 of the family's 1478-position model. The record is from RNAcentral.
GGACGAGGAUAAUCUCGGGAAACUGAGCAUAAUACUCGAUAGAUCAUAAUGCCUGGAAUGGUUUAUGGUUGAAAUGAUUCGUCGCCAUAGGAUGGGACUGCGGCCUAUCAGCUUGUUGGUGAGGUAAUGGCCCACCAAGGCGAUUACAGGUACGGGCUCUGAGAGGAGAAGCCCGGAGAUGGGUACUGAGACAAGGACCCAGGCCCUAUGGGGCGCAGCAGGCGAGAAAACUUUGCAAUGUGCGAAAGCACGACAAGGUUAAUCCGAGUGAUUUCUGCUAAAGAAAUCUUUUGCAAGUCAUAAAACCACUAGUGAAUAAGGGGUGGGCAAGUUCUGGUGUCAGCCGCCGCGGUAAAACCAGCACCUCAAGUGGUCAGGAGGAUUAUUGGGCCUAAAGCAUCCGUAGCCGGCUCUGUAAGUUUUCGGUUAAAUCCAUGUGCUCAACGCAUGGGCUGCCGAAAAUACUGCAUAGCUAGGGAGUGGGAGAGGUAGACGGUACUCGGUAGGAAGGGGUAAAAUCCUUUGAUCUAUCGAUGACCACCUGUGGCGAAGGCGGUCUACCAGAACACGUUCGACGGUGAGGGAUGAAAGCUGGGGGAGCAAACCGGAUUAGAUACCCGGGUAGUCCCAGCUGUAAACGAUGCAGACUAGAUGAUGCAUUAGCAUAUAGCUAGUGCAGUGUCUCAGGGAAGCCGUUAAGUCUGCCGCCUGGGAAGUACGUACGCAAGUAUGAAACUUAAA